UAAAUACUCCCUCUGUCCCAAAUUUUUUGUCUUAGGUUUGUCUAGAAANNNAUGUAUCUAAAUACUAAAAUAUGACUAGAUACAUUCAUAUCUAGACAAAUCUAAGAUAAGAAUUUUGGGACGGAGGGAGUGUACU
Non-coding RNA from Hordeum vulgare subsp. vulgare (domesticated barley), 136 nucleotides. Lineage: Eukaryota; Viridiplantae; Streptophyta; Magnoliopsida; Poales; Poaceae. The record is from Rfam.